RNAcentral lists this ribosomal RNA (255 nucleotides) under uncultured bacterium. RNAcentral describes it as "partial 16S ribosomal RNA". It matches the Rfam family "Bacterial small subunit ribosomal RNA", at positions 524 to 776 of the family's 1533-position model. The record is from RNAcentral.
UACGAAGGGGGCUAGCGUUGUUCGGAAUUACUGGGCGUAAAGCGCGCGCAGGCGGUCCUUUAAGUCGGGGGUGAAAGCCCAGAGCUCAACUCUGGAACUGCCUUCGAAACUAGAGGACUUGGGUACGGGAGAGGUGAGUGGAAUUCCGAGUGUAGAGGUGAAAUUCGUAGAUAUUCGGAGGAACACCAGUGGCGAAGGCGGCUCACUGGUCCAUUACUGGACGCUGAGGUGGCGAAAGCGUGGGGAGCAAACAGG